GAUGAACGCUGGCGGCGUGCCUAACACAUGCAAGUCGAGCGGGAAGCGAGGGAUGAAGAUUUCGGUUGGAUUUCCUUGUGGAGAGCGGCGGACGGGUGAGUAACGCGUAGACAACCUGCCCCUUUCGCAGGGAUAGCCGCGGGAAACCGCGAUUAAUACCUGAUGAUUCCAUGGAGCCGCAUGGUUCCGUGGGCAAAGAUUUAUCGGAGAGGGAUGGGUCUGCGUCCGAUUAGGUAGUUGGCGGGGUAACGGCCCACCAAGCCCACGAUCGGUAGCCGGCCUGAGAGGGCGAUCGGCCACAUUGGAACUGAGACACGGUCCAAACUCCUACGGGAGGCAGCAGUGGGGAAUAUUGCACAAUGGGGGAAACCCUGAUGCAGCAACGCCGCGUGGGCGAAGAAGGCCCUAUGGGUCGUAAAGCCCUUAUCCGGGGGACGAAGAAGUGACGGUACCCCGGGAGAAAGCCCCGGCUAACUACGUGCCAGCAGCCGCGGUAAUACGUAGGGGGCAAGCGUUAUCCGGAUUUAUUGGGCGUAAAGGGUGCGUAGGUGGCCCGGCAAGCGAGCGGUCUAAGGCAACGGCUCAACCGUUGUUCGCCGUUCGAACUGUCAGGCUUGAGUGCAGGAGGGGAAAGCGGAACUCCCAGUGUAGCGGUGAAAUGCGUAGAUAUUGGGAAGAACACCGGCGGCGAAGGCGGCUUUCUGGACUGUUACUGACACUGAGGCACGAAAGCGUGGGGAGCAAACAGGAUUAGAUACCCUGGUAGUCCACGCCGUAAACGAUGAGCGCUAGGUGUCGGGGCCUAUAAAGCCUCGGUGCCGCAGCCAACGCAUUAAGCGCUCCGCCUGGGGAGUACGCGCGCAAGGUUGAAACUCAAAGGAUUUGACGGGGGCCCGCACAAGCGGUGGAGUAUGUGGUCUAAUUAGACGCAACGCGAAAAACCUUACCUGGGCUUGAAGUGGUAAUGGUAAAAACUCGAAACAGCAAUGACCCGCAAGGGAGUUCGUAGAGGUCCCCCAUCGCUGUAGUCAGCUCGUGUCGUGAGAUGUUGGGGUAAGUAAAAAAACGAGCGCAACCCUUAUUCUGCGUUACCUGUAGCGAUACAGGGUUUCUGAGGAAACUGCCAUUGAUAAAAUGGAGGAAGGUGAGGAGCACGUCAAGUCAUCAUGGCCUUUAUGUCCAGGGCUACACACGUACUUCAAUGACCGGUACAGAGGGCACAGCGAUAUUGUAAAAUGGAGCAAAUCCUUAAAGCCGACCUCAGUUCAGAUUGUGGGCUGCAAUUCGCCCACAUGAAGUAGGAAUCGCUAGUAAUCGCAGAUCAGCAGGCUGCGGUGAAUACGUUCCCGGGCCUUGUACACCCCGCCCGUCACACUACGAAAGUCAGUUAUAACAGAAGUCGUUGAGCUAACCGCAAGGAGGCUAAUCCUUACGUUAUGACUGGUGAUUGGAGUG
RNAcentral lists this ribosomal RNA (1455 nucleotides) under uncultured Elusimicrobia bacterium. RNAcentral's name for it is "bacterial SSU rRNA". It matches the Rfam family "Bacterial small subunit ribosomal RNA". Lineage: Bacteria; Pseudomonadati; Elusimicrobiota; Elusimicrobia. The record is from RNAcentral.